UAGUUUAGUGGCGGACGGGUGAGUAACACGUGAGCAACCUGCCUUCGAGAGGGGAAUAACGGCUGGAAACGGUCGCUAAUACCGCAUAACAUACAGGAGGGACAUCCCUUUUGUAUCAAAGAUUUAUCGCUCGAAGAUGGGCUCGCGUCCGAUUAGGUAGUUGGUGAGGUAACGGCCCACCAAGCCGACGAUCGGUAGCCGGACUGAGAGGUUGAACGGCCACAUUGGGACUGAGACACGGCCCAGACUCCUACGGAAGGCAGCAG
Molecule: ribosomal RNA, 266 nt
Filed under: uncultured bacterium
Lineage: Bacteria
Description: partial 16S ribosomal RNA
Rfam family: Bacterial small subunit ribosomal RNA
Source: RNAcentral